This 498-nucleotide ribosomal RNA is filed under the name uncultured bacterium. Its description in RNAcentral is "partial 16S ribosomal RNA". It matches the Rfam family "Bacterial small subunit ribosomal RNA", at positions 28 to 507 of the family's 1533-position model. The record is from RNAcentral.
GACGAACGCUGGCGGCGUGCCUAAUACAUGCAAGUCGAACGAGAGCGACCGGUGUUUCCACUGGUCAAUCUAGUCGCGAACGGGUGAGUAACACGUGGAAAACCUGCUCAUCACAGGGGGAUAACAUCCGGAAACGGAUGCUUAACGCGCAUACGUGUUCGAACCGCAUGGUUUGACGUGGAAAAGAGGAGCAAUCUCCUGCUGAUGGAAUGAGCGGCGUGGCAUUAGCUCAUUGGUGGGGUAACGGCUCCCCAAGGCUCUGAUGCAUAUGCGACCUUAGGGGGUGAGCGGCGACGUUAGCACUGAGACAGGGCCCAGACUCCUACGGGUGGCAGCAGUAGGAAAGGUUGCGAAAUGGGAGGAAGUCUGACGGUGCGACACCGCGUGAGUGAAGGAGGUUUCGGGAUCGGAAAAGUCUGUUGUUUGAGAAGGACAUGUAGUAGAGUAACUGUUAGCGCGUUGACGGUAUCUAACGAGAAAGCAACGGCUAACUACGUG